CUCGAGCAAGCUGAGCUCCCUGGCCAGCUGCAGAACUCGCGGAGCCAAGUGCCGCUGCUCACUCAGAAGGAAGACCUCCCAGUCCACGGAAGGGUUCCUGCAAUGCUUAUGUGGCAUUUCUGAGAAAAUCAUGAAAUUUGUGUUACUUGCAGCUGUUGUCUGGUGUAUUGUAAUACCACCAUCAGAGACCAGCAAGAGCUUUGAGGACAUCCGCUGCAAGUGUGUCUGCCCCCCAUAUAGGAAUAUCAGUGGACAGAUUUACAAGAAGAAUGUGUCACAGAAGGACUGCAACUGCCUGCAUGUGGUGGAGCCGAUGCCUGUGCCGGGGAACGAUGUCGAGGCAUAUUGCCUGCUGUGUGAGUGCAAGUAUGAAGAGCGAAGCACCACCACCAUCAAGGUCAUCAUCAUCAUUUACCUCUCAGUGAUUGGAGCCCUUCUGCUCUACAUGGUCUUUCUGAUGGUGGUCGACCCCCUCAUCCGCAAGCCUGAUGCCUACACCCAGCCCCUGCACAAUGAAGAGGAAAGCGAGGACGCCCAUUCACUGGCAGCAAUACGCCCUUCAGCUGCCACCCGGGCAAACACAGUGUUGGAGAGAGUGGAGGGAGCCCAGCAACGGUGGAAGCGUCAGGUGCAGGAGCAGCGGAAGACGGUGUUUGAUCGACACAAGAUGCUCAGCUAGAUCUCAUAGAAGGUUUGCAGUCCGGGAGGGAGCAGCAGCUGCUGGUUAGCUGGGCAGAUCUUGGUGGAAAGAAGCCAAUGAAAAGGUGCCAAAUUAUCAAUUGCCAAGUUCCAGAGGCACAUGUACAGUACGCACUGAUCUAACACUUCACACCCCCAAAAAGAAAAAGUCAAAAUGAGUUACUUUCUUGUGUGGUUACAUUGUCACAGCAAGCCAUCAUUGUGGUCUACCACAAAAAUGGAAAAAUUGUUUACAGACUGCGCUGGAUUUGAUCCAUCUAACAAAUUAAACUUAAAGGCUAUCUGUCCACAAAUAAAGAGAUGGCUUUAAUACGAAAUAAUUUGUGUGUUUACAAGUGACUAACCCUUCAGUGCCAUUGGCCCAAUCCUGUGGAACACCCUGUCAACAGAGAUUCAGCAGACGUCUUCUGUGCCAACUUAAUUUUUAAUAUAUAUAUAUUAAUAAGCAAAAUAAACCAAAGAUAAAGAGCAUAAAAAUACAGGUUGAAAGCAUUCAGUGGACAUUAUCACUGAAUCUGUUCCAAAACAUUACCAAAAACCCCACCCAUUUCCCCCAUAAACCUGUUGUGCUGGGUUAUAUGUAUUAUUUUAUAAUACAUUAGUUUAAUCAUAAUUACUAUGGAAUAAAUUUCUCAGUCCAUUUAGAUAUAGUAAGAGCUAUGCUUUCAUCCCAGUUUUUAGCUAUUAUACUCUUAGCAGCAGCUAUAACACUUGAUCGUUUUCCAGAAUAACAUCCUCUAGAUAACCAAGCAGAAAUAUUUUAGGUUCCAAGGGUAUUUGAUAUCCUAACAUAGCAUAGAUAUUAUCCUGAAUGGAUAUCCAGAAUAUGUCUAUUUGAGGACAAUGCCAGAAGAUAUGUAUGCAAUCUGUUUUAUUUAAUCCACAUCUCCAACAUUUAGCCAAUCCUAACUUAUUCAUGAAAUUCAAUUUAUAAGGUGUUAAAUACCAUUUAAAGUAGUUUUUUUAGGUCUGCAGAAAUUAUAUUAGAAUAGAAGUUGUCCCAAAUCCAGUUCCAUUGUUUCCUAGUUAUUCUUUGAAUUCAAAUCUCACACCCAUUUUCUCAUAUCUGUAUCCUGGGUCAGAUCCAAGUUUAACCUUCUGUGCCAACUUCUGAAAACUUUUUUAUUAUGCCAGGCCUAUGCAGGAAAUUAAGAGUGCAUUACUCACAAUGGUCUAUUGCUGUUUGUUUUUAAUUCUUUUGCUUUUAACUUGUUUUACUUUCUUAUGCUUUUUUGUAUGACUUUAUGUUCUUGUAUUGUGGUAAAGCACUGUGAUAUAGUUCUACGAUACAGCAGUAGAUAAAUAUUUAAUAAAUAAAUAAGAAUGAAAGCAAUAAGUAUACCUAUAGAAACAAAAUCACCUAGAAGAAGACAUGUAAAUAUGACCCAAGUUUGAGGACUAAUUUAGGCGUGUCUCUCUUCUCUUCUCUUUUCUCCUCUUCUUUUGUUCUUUUUCUUGCAAAUUUUACAUUUUGAAAGAUAUUUAAUGGGGAAGGAAGCAAAAUAGGUUUACCAACUUGCAAAUAAGUGUUUUUUCUCCCAAAUGAUUUGAAAUAGCAUUACCAGCCUUUUUGACUGCAAUUGUACCUGUGUAUUUAACAGAAGCUUGGUUACAAGUGCAGGCAUUAAAAAAUAAUGUUUAUCGCAUGCUGUGAAAAGCUUCGCCUACAGAUGUCUGCAGAUCAAGCUACUGUUAAGAGCAUAAGAGCAGGCCUGGCCUUUUAAUUUUGGGUUAGUUGGCAACACAUUGUACUUGCCUUUUCAUUUCCUACAUGUGCUCUCUCUUAGCUCGAUAUGUUCCUAACUGUCCGCUGUAUCCUUUCCAAAGUAUUUCUUCACUAGACUUCUUUCCUUUCCUUUUUUCAAUUAUGUCAAGUAAUAAAACGAAAUGUGUUUACUCUAUAAUUAAGAACUUGGAGCGAGGAAGAGUUUAAUCUGGCAGUAGGGAAACCUAGCUAAAGGGUAAAAACACAGAAAAUGCUUUUUAAAAAAUUUAACAGUUCUUUUAAUGCAGCCCACAAAUAAAUUCUUCAGAUGAGAUUACCGGUUCCAACUUUCUAAUGAAGAAAUCAUGGUGGGUGGGUGUUUUCCCUCCGCAAAUGAUUAUCCUCCUGUCAAAUGUCACUGGUAUAUGAACCGCAGCUUGGAUCACAUUAGUGGUUCACUAUGGAAUGGGCUGCCUAGCCUGAUCCUUAAAGGUCAAGGCUAGACCACAAACUUGUGUCAGUUUCUUAUAACAUUUGUUGUUGUUUCUUCUCCCAAGAAAACCUUGGGAAUUUUAGUAGGGUGAGGUGGUGAGAACGCCUGUCUUUCAUAUAGUGCUACUGGUAAUGAAGGUCUGGCGAUGGGAGGAAAAACCUCAUAGAAUGACUCUGGUAGGGAGCCAGAUGCUUAGUGAAGACUUUUUGUUUAUUUUCGAUUCCCCCCCCCCCAGAUUUUUAAGGUUAAUGCUACAGUGGUACCUCAGGUUAAGUAC
RNA transcript from Podarcis muralis (Common wall lizard), 3174 nucleotides. It is a transcript of the gene named transmembrane protein 9, with no coding region annotated. NCBI's taxonomy places the organism in Eukaryota, Metazoa, Chordata, Lepidosauria, Squamata, Lacertidae. The record is from RefSeq and is a predicted model, not a curated record.